Molecule: long non-coding RNA, 1145 nt
Organism: Hyla sarda
Lineage: Eukaryota; Metazoa; Chordata; Amphibia; Anura; Hylidae
Exons: 5
Source: RefSeq, a predicted model, not a curated record
UGCCUUCCAGAUGUUGCUAGGCAACCACCUACCAAGAAUCCUGCUUGGCGUCAACAGCAGGAUCGCUGCCCACUGCACCUGCUUGACGAUCACUGCCAAUCGCUGCCCACCAUUGGAGAGAGUUUGACUACUGGGAUCCACACUCCUCUACAUCCAUCAGUCCUAUAGGCAGUAAAAAGGCGUGAUGAGUAUGCACUGCGUGCCCGUCAAAACUUUGCGUUGCAGCUCCUGAUUCUGAGCUGUACAAGCAGACAUCCUAAGCAGCUGCAGUCUCAGGAAAUGGCACAUUUCACAAAGCUAGAAGAACUUGACAACGUGUGGGGUUGGUCGAGUAUUAAUAAGUGAGGGCCUGCUCCAACAUUCUGGUCUUACAGAGAGAAAACAAAAGUCUCAUAUCGCGGAUUGAUGAAUCGUUCCCCCAGGAACAUGCUUUGCAGAGAAGCCAUGGACGUGCUGGAGCCAGCCAUUGACAUGUUGUCGAGGUUAUCAUGUGAGGAGCGGAUAGAAAUUGUGUUGAUGUCUGGUGAAUGCAGUAACCUCAAUGCAAGAUUUCAAUGCAAGACACCCUACGAGACCACCUGAGACCACCCAAAAAUUUUGAAAGUAGCUGUGGACAGCGUUUUUUCUACACCAGAAAAGACCCGGUGUAACAUUGCGCCUAUUUAACGUAGGAAUGCGACAAAACAUGCGACUUAUACCGAGACCACCCAAAAAUUUAGAAAGUAGCUCUGGACAGCGUUUUUUCUACACCAGAAAAGACCUGGUGUAACAUUGUGCCUAUUUAUCGUAGCAUGCGACAAAACAUGCGACUUAUACCGUUUGUCGCACAUGAUGAAUUCGUGACCACUGCAAAUAAAGGGCUAUAUUAACACGAAGUAAAGUCUGGACUGGAAAACUGCAUAAAUGGUUUGGCGCAAAGAUCUGUCACACGCAGGCACAUGAACAAAAAAUGCAAUAAGCAUAGACUGAAAAGAGGGUAAACACCUUGAUAAAUUCCCCCCAAUGUGCUUUAGUGUCAGGAGCUUGUCUAAGCAAAGCUUUCAACACAUAAUGAAAGAGAAUUAUUUUAUAGAAGAUUUAUCAAGUGGACCUUGCUUUAAGCAUAGGUUUAAUCAUCAUGAUCAUAAAGUAAUAACCAUUGUUAA